This 253-nucleotide ribosomal RNA is filed under the name uncultured bacterium. RNAcentral's name for it is "partial 16S ribosomal RNA". It matches the Rfam family "Bacterial small subunit ribosomal RNA", at positions 524 to 776 of the family's 1533-position model. The record is from RNAcentral.
UACGGAGGGUGCAAGCGUUAAUCGGAAUUACUGGGCGUAAAGCGUGCGUAGGUGGUUAAUUAAGUUAUCUGUGAAAUCCCUGGGCUUAACCUGGGCAGGUCAGAUGAUACUGGUUGACUCGAGUAUGGGAGAGGGUAGUGGAAUUUCCGGUGUAGCGGUGAAAUGCGUAGAGAUCGGAAGGAACACAAGUGGCGAAGGCGGCUACCUGGCCUAAUACUGACACUGAGGCACGAAAGCGUGGGGAGCAAACAGG